AGUGAACGCUGGCGGUAGGCCUAACACAUGCAAGUCGAACGGCAGCACAGUAAGAGCUUGCUCUUACGGGUGGCGAGUGGCGGACGGGUGAGGAGUACAUCGGAAUCUACUUUUUCGUGGGGGAUAACGUAGGGAAACUUACGCUAAUACCGCAUACGACCUACGGGUGAAAGCAGGGGAUCUUCGGACCUUGCGCGAUUGAAUGAGCCGAUGUCGGAUUAGCUAGUUGGCGGGGUAAAGGCCCACCAAGGCGACGAUCCGUAGCUGGUCUGAGAGGAUGGUCGGCCACACUGGAACUGGGCCACGGUCCAGACUCCUACGGGAGGCAGCAGUGGGGAAUAUUGGACAAUGGGCGCAAGCCUGAUCCAGCCAUACCGCGUGGGUGAAGAAGGCCUUCGGGUUGUAAAGCCCUUUUGUUGGGAAAGAAAAGCAGCAGGUUAAUACCCCGCUGUUCUGACGGUACCCAAAGAAUAAGCACCGGCUAACUUCGUG
Molecule: ribosomal RNA, 492 nt
Filed under: uncultured bacterium
Lineage: Bacteria
Description: partial 16S ribosomal RNA
Rfam family: Bacterial small subunit ribosomal RNA
Source: RNAcentral